GGGGACGACAGGCUUCGACGUGGUCGAUUCGUGGGGGUGGUCGCGAGUCGAGGUCCCGGGAGGCCUCGUAAAACACCCGGGAAACAAUAAGUGCGAAGUCACACGCUGACCUCCACAACUUCAGCCUCGCUGUCUAACAACAGCUAGCGCUGGACCGCCCACCGCUCGCCUGCGGUGGUGGGUCGGGUCAAACAGCAGGCUCACCCGGUGAGGCCCGCUCCAGCCCCGCCGGGGACAACUUCGGAGCUGGCCCUCGACAACCCCGCCGGCGAGGCGAGUCGAGGGUGAGAUCAGAGCGCCGGCUACGCUCGUAGACGCCACCUUUUGCGCGGCUGCGGACGCGGGUUCAAUUCCCGCCGUCUCCACCU
RNAcentral lists this transfer-messenger RNA (368 nucleotides) under Solirubrobacteraceae. RNAcentral's name for it is "Palsa-465 sp019240305 Standard tmRNA". It matches the Rfam family "transfer-messenger RNA". From Rfam's summary of the family: Bacterial tmRNA, also known as 10Sa RNA or SsrA, is named for its dual tRNA and mRNA-like properties. Its role is to liberate the mRNA from a stalled ribosome. Lineage: Bacteria; Bacillati; Actinomycetota; Thermoleophilia; Solirubrobacterales. RNAcentral also lists the same sequence under 1 other name. The record is from RNAcentral.